This 74-nucleotide transfer RNA is filed under the name Ophiophagus hannah (king cobra). It matches the Rfam family "tRNA". Rfam says of the family: Transfer RNA (tRNA) molecules are approximately 80 nucleotides in length. The record is from Rfam by way of RNAcentral. Lineage: Eukaryota; Metazoa; Chordata; Lepidosauria; Squamata; Elapidae.
ACCAGUUUAGUCUAGUGGUUAAGGCACCUGGCUAGAAGCCAGGAGACUGUGAGUUCACAGUCCCAUCAUAGCUA